AAAUAAAUUUAAACCCUUCAAUAUGUAUUUCUCUAAGAUAAUCAACAAAAUACAGAGUCUCUGGCUCUCUCUCUGCUCCCAAAUGAUAUCGUCGUCCUCUGGAAGCUCCCUCUUAUGGCGGAGCCGUACACCUGUCCCUGUUCCUCCGCCUCGGUCACCGCCGUCGUUUAAAAAUCUCUCUUAUCCCUUCUCUUCCGCUUUAGGGUUUAUACACAGAACAACAAUUUCCCCUCUUUCUUGUUCAGCUGAAAUCGCCUCGGAUAUUGCCCUGGGGCAGAGCCGGCCUGCCCCUGAUUUCAGUCCGUGGUCUGAGUUCGCUCAUAAUGUGUCUGGCGAAUGGGACGGUUUCGGAGCAGAUUUUACACGCGAAGGACAACCGCUUGAACUACCUGAAUCGGUGGUUCCAGAAGCCUAUAGAGAAUGGGAAGUGAAGGUGUUCGAUUGGCAGACGCAGUGUCCCACUCUUGCCCAGCCUCACGCACACACUUUUCUUUACAAGUCCAUCAAACUCCUCCCCACUGUUGGAUGUGAAGCAGAUGCAGCCACCCGUUACACCAUCGACCACAGGAGCAUCGGGUUAACCGAAUCAUCUGCACUAGCAUUUUCGUACUCUGUCACUGGCUCCUAUGUCGCUGUGUGGCCUUUGCGGAACAACCAGCUAGAGUUGGAGCAUUGUCUGAUCAAUCCAAAUGACAAGCAGUCUCGGGUGAGGAUUUUCCAGGUUGUUAGCUUAGCAGAGACCAACAUGUCCUUCCAGAGUAUCAAAGUUUUCUGUGAGCAGUGGUACGGUCCCUUCAGAGAUGGCGAUCAGCUUGGAGGUUGUGCAAUCCGUAGCUCCGGGUUUGCUUCUACACCUACCACAGCAGCUUCAGUGGUUGCCGGCUCUUGGAGAGUUCUACUUGCUACCACUAGCUUUCACGCCUCCGAUUCCGAUUGUAUUCAACAAGUUACUGGCGAGAAGGUUGUUGAGAUUGUGAGAGAAGAAAAGGAUCUUCUACUGCUUCCGCAAGGGCUGUGGUGCUCUCUCCAAGAACGAAAAGACGACGAUAGAGUGUUUUCAGUAGGAUGGGUGUUUGAGCCAGGCCAUGCUAUCACAUCCAGCUGCGUCUUCUCCAGCGAUUCUAAGCUAAAGGAGGUAACAAUGGGAAGAGAGACCGCUCUGUUAGAUUUCAUUGUAGAGUGCAGAGCCUUUAUUGAUUCAAUCUUUACGGGGAAAGAUCCAUACCAUGUGAACCAUAUUUCUGCAGAGCUUUGUAGCUUUUGCAUAUCUUGGGCCAGCUCUAUCAACAAUGAAGGAUUCACACACACAGAGACGUAGACUGUCAGUUUGGGAAAGAAUUUGAUGGCAUUUACCUAGAAAAACUGAGAAAGGCCUAACCUGUACAUAAUUCAAUGCCUUUCUGCAUCAUAGCUACAAACUCUCCGUAGUCAAUCCUUCCAUCCUGAAACAAGAAGAAGAAAAUGAUCCCUGUAAUCUGCAACCCAGAAGAUAUGCAUGCAUAAGCGCAGGUCUCUCACAUUGUCUUGGUCUACUUCUUUGAUCACAUCUUCGAGAAAUACAUCACUCAUUCCCUGUUCAGCACAUGCAUGCUGUAACUCAUCGAUUGUGAU
This is an RNA transcript of Capsella rubella, 1611 nucleotides long. RefSeq lists it as uncharacterized. NCBI's taxonomy places the organism in Eukaryota, Viridiplantae, Streptophyta, Magnoliopsida, Brassicales, Brassicaceae. The record is from RefSeq and is a predicted model, not a curated record. The transcript is spliced from 6 exons.